UGCAGCUACCAGAGAUGAAUAUCUAUGUAUGGGUCAGACUGACUGAGAGCCGGAGAGCAGUGAUUGGUCAGACUGAGAGCCGGGGAGCAGUGAUUGGUUAGACUGAGCCGAGGACUCUGUCCCGCCCACAUUUACGGCUUCUGCUGUUUACCUGCUGCUGCUAACAACGUUAGCGUCCAAAAGUGAAGAUAAACUCUGCAGCCUUGGUCUGGAUCAUUGGGAACAUCUAGUCUGAUGGAUGAGAGCUCCAGAGAACAUGAACAUCCAGCUGUGGUUGUCUGAAGAGUCUUUUCUCCUUCAUCACUGUGAGGAAGAGCAGCACUGAUGUCCUCCUCAUCCUUCCAGUAAUAACAAUAAUGCUGCAGAUUCAGCUCCUCUCUUCAGAAUACAACUUGUCUUGAGACUGUUCAGUAUCUACACUUCACUGUCAGCAACACAUUAUUUAUUUCAUGUGUUUACACAUUGUUACAGUUCACAAUAGUUAAACAAUGUAGUUUUUAAAUGUGCAAUAAAGGAACUAAUGAAGCUCUUGA
Amphiprion ocellaris (clown anemonefish) is the source of this 533-nucleotide long non-coding RNA. RefSeq lists it as uncharacterized. The transcript is spliced from 2 exons. The record is from RefSeq and is a predicted model, not a curated record. Lineage: Eukaryota; Metazoa; Chordata; Actinopteri; Pomacentridae.